GCCAGACUCCUACGGGAGGCAGCAGUGGGGAAUAUUGCACAAUGGGGGAAACCCUGAUGCAGCGACGCCGCGUGAGCGAAGAAGUACCUCGGUAUGUAAAGCCCUAUCGGCAGGGAAGAAGGAGGACGGUACCUGACUAAGAAGCCCCGGCUAACUACGUGCCAGCAGCCGCGGUAAUACGUAGGGGGCAAGCGUUAUCCGGAUUUACUGGGUGUAAAGGGGGCGCAGACGGCAGCGCAAGCCAGGAGUGAAAGCCCGGGGCCCAACCCCGGGACUGCUCUUGGAACUGCGCGGCUGGAGUGCAGGAGGGGCAGGCGGAAUUCCUGGUGUAGCGGUGAAAUGCGUAGAUAUCAGGAGGAACACCGGUGGCGAAGGCGGCCCGCUGGACGGCGACUGACGUUGAGGCCCGAAAGCGUGGGGAGCAAACAGGAUUAGAUACCCGAGUAUCC
This 449-nucleotide ribosomal RNA is filed under the name uncultured bacterium. RNAcentral's name for it is "partial 16S ribosomal RNA". It matches the Rfam family "Bacterial small subunit ribosomal RNA", at positions 330 to 795 of the family's 1533-position model. The record is from RNAcentral.